CCAAACCCCUGUGAACAUACCUAUAAUUUGCCUCGGCGGACUCAACGACGGUGCUCCGAGAAAUCGGGCGCCGCUCGCUGCCAGAGGAACCCCAAACUCUAUGUAUUCUUGUGGAUCUUCUGAGUAAAACAAAACAAAUAAAUCAAAACUUUCAACAACGGAUCUCUUGGUUCUGGCAUCGAUGAAGAACGCAGCGAAAUGCGAUAAGUAAUGUGAAUUGCAGAAUUCAGUGAAUCAUCGAAUCUUUGAACGCACAUUGCGCCCGCCAGUAUUCUGGCGGGCAUGCCUGUUCGAGCGUCAUUUCAACCCUCAAGCCCCCGGGCUUGGUGUUGGGGAUCGGCGAUAGUCGCCGUCCCCCAAAUCUAGUGGCGGUCUCGCUGUAGCCUCCAUUGCGUAAUAGCUAACACCUCGCAACUGGAACGCGGCGCGGCCAAGCCGUUAAACCCCCAACUUCUGAAUGUUGACCUCGGAUCAGGUAGGAAUACCCGCUGAACUUAAGCAUAUCAAUAAGCGGAGGAAAAGAAACCAACAGGGAUUGCCCUAGUAACGGCGAGUGAAGCGGCAACAGCUCAAAUUUGAAAUCUGGCUCUCGGGCCCGAGUUGUAAUUUGUAGAGGAUGCUUUUGGUGCGGUGCCUUCCGAGUGCCCUGGAACGGGACGCCAUAGAGGGUGAGAGCCCCGUCUGGUUGGAUGCCAAUCCUCUGUAAAGCUCCUUCGACGAGUCGAGUAGUUUGGGAAUGCUGCUCUAAAUGGGAGGUAUAUGUCUUCUAAAGCUAAAUACCGGNCAGAGACCGAUAGCGCACAAGUAGAGUGAUCGAAAGAUGAAAAGCACUUUGAAAAGAGAGUUAAAAAGUACGUGAAAUUGUUGAAAGGGAAAGCGU
RNAcentral lists this ribosomal RNA (880 nucleotides) under fungal endophyte. RNAcentral's name for it is "eukaryotic LSU rRNA". The stretch from base 462 to 880 matches the Rfam family "Eukaryotic large subunit ribosomal RNA", at positions 1 to 423 of the family's 3401-position model. Lineage: Eukaryota; Fungi. The record is from RNAcentral.